AUGAGUGCUGGAUUCUUGGCCGCUGGACGGCCCCAGAGCGUGAUGUUACCACAGUGUUGCUCCAUCAGCAGGCAGCGGCACACAGCAGGGACAGACCCAGGCAUGCAGCAUAGCCAGCACACAGCCCUGCCGAGAGCCCACGAUGCACUUCUCUGCCUUGCGUCACCACUUCAGUCCAAGCUCCUGAGCCAACGUCUCUGCCCCACAUUCAGCUCCAAGCAUUCUGAAGAGAUGUCCUCUGAUAUGACAUAUCCCAACAGUAACUCUUGCAUACCUGAAGAUUUUCCGAUUACAUAA
This 297-nucleotide long non-coding RNA is filed under the name Chrysolophus pictus (golden pheasant). Its description in RNAcentral is "lncRNA (ENSCPIG00010011812.1)". Lineage: Eukaryota; Metazoa; Chordata; Aves; Galliformes; Phasianidae. The record is from RNAcentral.